UUAGUUGUUCCUUAUGAGCAAGAUUGUUCUAAAAGCAAUCCCUCAAGUCUAAACGAAUCAAUAACUUGGAAGACUUAUUAAGAAGCCCAUUGCACCAUCAUAAUUAACUGUUUAAACAACAACAACUACUACCCAGUAUAGUCCCACAAAGUAUAGUCAAACAAUAUUAAGCUUCCCUGAAGAUUCAGUUGUGUCUAAUAACACAAUGCUGUAAGAACAGGAAAAAGAGCAUCGGAGAAAUAUUACACGUGAAGAUCAACUAUAAGAAAUCUUCCAAAGAAUAGAGAACAAACAGCAUAGUGUCAUAGCCAUGCAAUUAUACAUAAGUCAAACAAAAAACAUACUAAAGUUCCAAGGGAUGGAAGUCUGCUAUAAUGUAGCAUAGUGUCAUUGACUGCAUCAAUAACGUGCUCGUAAGCCUUCUACAAAUGUUUAUAAAUUCAUCUUUCCACUACUAGACACAUGACCCGAAAUAGAACAGGUAAUUAAUAGAAAGAGCACACAAGUAAAAAGCCAGCAAUACAUCGAUACAAUUGCUUAAGUCUGCGUAAUAACAACUUAGAGGAAAAUCAUAAGGACAAAGAUAGAAACCGUACCUCUUCAAUAAAAUAACGUACUUGGUCCCUCCAUAAGUCAACAGAAUAGACAAGUUCUUUUGCCCAAGGUUCUGCUUCAUCUCCAAAACCCCAGACGACAUUGUUUCCAUCACGGUCAGAUUCAUCUAAUUGUUUAGACUGCGAAGUUGGAUCCUCACAUGGUAAUGACUUCCCUUGUCCAAGAAAAUCUAACGCCCAUAUUCUGUGAUCAAGACCAAGAUCCUUUAAUUGCUUUUCAUAGUGAAAGGAACCAACACCAAAACCAGUUCAGAUUCAUCUAAUCGUUUGGACUGCGAAGUUGGAUCCUCACACGGUAAUGACUUCCCUUGUCCAAGAAAAUCUAAUGCCCAUACUCUGUGAUCACGACCAAGAUCUUUUAAUUGCUUUUCAUAGUGGAAGGAACCAACACCAAAACCAGGAAGAAAAAGUAUUGGUGCGGAGUUAACAUUUUGACAACCAGAUUUCUCAUAAUGAACUUUCAGUUUGGGUUUCCAUU
This 1092-nucleotide long non-coding RNA is filed under the name Nicotiana benthamiana. Its description in RNAcentral is "long non-coding RNA (NBEN_LNC012796)". Lineage: Eukaryota; Viridiplantae; Streptophyta; Magnoliopsida; Solanales; Solanaceae. The record is from RNAcentral.